UCCAAAUUAUAUGAUGGGGAUAUGCAACUCCAUAUUUCUUGUUGGAUGGGCAUUAGUCCUCCUGAAUCAUAUUGAUAGGAGGCAUUGCAGUAUGCAGGAGGACACUUAAACUACAUGGGAAAUAAUCCUGGGCGCAAGGCUGAAUCUUUCUAGAACUUCUUGUUGAUCAUUUAUUUGGUCUGAUACUAAAGCUAGAAUCACUGUAUGAGUGUCUUCCAUCUAUAUUAAAAUGUUCAGCCUUGAGAACUUAGAGAUGAUUUGAAAAAUGGAGCUCAUUAGAAGCAGCAUAUUUUGUGUAACCUUCAGAAACUGCAGCAAGAAUAUGCAUAUGCAGCAUUUCCAGUUUUUAGAACAGAGUUUUAAACACAUGCUUCCUCUCAGAGGAAGUGAAGCUGAUGUUUAACACCCAAAUGUGGUCAUCUGGUGCUAUUUCAGAUGCUCUAUGAUGUAUGCCGCAUCCACGUCGGGUUGGCAGAUAUGACGCAAGUCCUGAGAGGCUACUUCAUUUUGAGAUGCCUGCUGGAAGACAGCUUGGAUGCAUACUCUCAUUUUUAUACUUCAAAAAAUGCAGCUCUACCAUGAUCACAGACCUCUUAAUCUGAGAACAAAAUAAAGAGCAUUGAAAAUGGUCAUUUUUUUUUAUGGCCAAAGGGGCAUCAAACAUGACUCAGAGGAGAGGUGCUAGAUAGGAAUAGUUAGCUGUAGGCAUCCUCCUGGUUGAUGUGGGUGAUAGCCGUCCUCACCACUACAACCACAGCGACCACUAUGGCACGUUUUGCAUUCAUGUGUUUUCUGGGAAGGCACCCACUGGGGCAGGACUGAGGGAAGAAAAGCAGGCAGUACCAGGGCUGUACUCAGCACAGUACUGUCACGUGCAUGCUCAAGUUUCCAGAAAUCCCAUACAGCAAUUUCUCUAUUAUGCAAGUAGAAGAGCUGAUGUUAUGUGUCUGGUCAUUUUUCCUUCCUCGUAUUCACAGUAGUAACUGGUCAGUAUCAUGACAGUCAGCAUUUACCAGGUGUGGCAAUAAAUAAAUAAAUAAAA
Long non-coding RNA from Cygnus olor (mute swan), 1042 nucleotides. RefSeq lists it as uncharacterized. Lineage: Eukaryota; Metazoa; Chordata; Aves; Anseriformes; Anatidae. The transcript is spliced from 5 exons. The record is from RefSeq and is a predicted model, not a curated record.